AGAGAAUCCCUGGCGGGGAAAAAGGAGGUAUCAUCGCAUUCCUUUCUAUUAUUUCACAUGAAUUUUUAGAAGCAGUGAUUUUUAGAAUAAUUUUAUGAUUUUCGAUGAUAUCUCGUCAGUUUAACAACAAUAAUUGUACCCUAUCAACCGUUACCCUUCGUGAUGAUAGGCAGCUUAAAAUGGUUGACUGUUUGCGUUACAAAUUUUGGAAUAUCUUUUAGGAAGUGGAAAAAAAACGAAAAGAGAAAAAACUUGAAGUGGAAGUUGUCGUUGGGGGCAAGAAGAAGAUGCUGCCAUACCAGAAGAAAUUUGGUGCAAUGAAGCGCCAAAUCACAAAGCACUUUCAAAUCCAAAGAAAAUCCCCAUUCAUAAUGGUGAAUGGGGACAGGAAAAGAUUGAAGGAGAUAAGACCAGGGAUUACAAUAAUUGUCAAGUUCACAAAACCAAGUCACCAAAGACAUAACAAGACAAAACAAACCCCCCAAAGCGGGGCGAAAUACAUUUUUCAUGCCGGUAGCAGGCCGGUCUUUAACCGUUAAAUUUUUUUUGUUCAAUGUUUAGUUCAGUAGUUUGUUUAGAGAAUUUUUUUUUAUUUUAUAGAUUUGUUAUUUAUUGUAAAUUGUAUAUUAGCUUUUGGUUGUUGUGUUUGUUAAUUAAAUAUUUUAUAAAUUAUUGUUAGAACGAAAUUGUGGACAUUCAUGUUUUUUCGUCUUCCUUCUUAUAAUGAGCAUGUGGAAUAUUGCUGUUUCUGUCAUACAUUGAUUGAGAACUGUUUUAAAUGGUUCAUGCAAGUUCAAUGACCUCGUAUUAUAUCAAAAGGAAUAAAAUAUAAGUUCAAUGAGCCAUACAAGUUAAAUGGUUUAAUGGCUGGCUUUUACUGAUUACAACUUCUAUUGUUAACGUUCACAAAAAAUGGGAGUUUAUUUGCCCAUCCCAUGUUAGACAUCAAUAUACAUUGCACAAAAUGAAUGAUAUCAUUGGAGCAAAUGGAAUGGUAGUAAUGGUUUUGGUUUUACUUUACAAAUCGAUGUUUGAAUGAUGUUUCCAUUUUUUGUAAUGCAGUGUCGAAGAGGCCCGGCCCCUCAUUUUGUGUUUCAAUUUCUAGGAUUUAUUGUCAUAACUCUCAAACGGUCUUGAUUAUGUUAGGGGCCAAUGGCUCAUUUGCAAGGAUUUUUCAAAGGGGAAUUUUUUAGAUUGGGUGGGCUGUGAUGUGAUAGUGACGUCUUGAAUAGUCUUGAAUUUCAAGGAAUUUUUUUAAAUUAAUUGGUUCAAUGCAUGUUGCACAUCAAAAUGAAUAACACCAAAUAAAAGAUCUCACCAAAGCGAUUCAAACGGUGGUAACGGUUUUGGUUUCACUUCAGAAAUUGAUGUUUUUUAUGAUGUUUUGAAUUUUUUUAUAAUGCUUUGUCCAUGUGGCCCGGCCCUCCAUUAUACAUUGCAAUUUCUAGGCAUUCUUGUCAUAAAUCUCAAACGGUAUGGAGUAUGUUAGGGGCCAAAGGCUCAUUUUGAAGGGUUUUGCAAUUGGAAUUUUUUGGGUGAUUACCUUCUGGAUUGGGCGUGACUGUGAUAUCAUAGUGACGUCAUAGUUUUUAAUUGCCAGGUCUUUUGAAGGAUUAUUUUAUUGAAUAUAUGUUGCACAUCAAAUUGAAUUACACCAACUGAAAGAUCUCAUCGAAGCGAUCCGAAUGGUGGUAUUGGCUCUUCUGUAGCGUAAAGAAAUUAAAAACCUGGUAUUUUUAGUGGCGUUCCCAGCCCUUCAGACUCUUGGAAAACGCUGAAAACGCCUUUUUUAGUAUUUUUGAUUUAUUUUGAAAACUUACCGGGGCUCCUUUGCAAGAACAAAAAAUCAAAAUCGACCUGAUUAACCCAACCACAAAGGCUUUCCAACAGAUUUCGGGAAAAUAGAAAAUCAACCUCUUGGAAAACUGGGGGAGACAGGUCCUCCCCACACUGAGGCGUAACCACUGGGUAUUUUGUAAGUAGUUUUAGAAUAAAGUUUUGUGAUUUCCAGAUGAUCUUAAAGUGUCACUGAACUACUUUAGUGAAAAUUUUGACCAUGUGUUUUUUUUAUUUUAUCCAUUAAUUCAGAGCCGCUGAAUUGAAUAGUGCAAUUAUUUUUUGCGUGUCAUCUCUAUAACACCUUUUAAUUGAGCCCGAAAGUGUUGAUUUUUGUGAUCUUUAGUGCGAAAAAUCUACGCGGUCAGUCAGGAAUGCGUGACAUAAUCUGAUUUAUACAUCUGUCACGCACAUACGGGUUUAGUAUAAGUAUACCAAAAGCCGGGUGAAAUAGAAGUAAAGAAGAAGAAAAAUACAGGCCGGAAAGGAAGGUACUGUGUUGCUGGAGCACCUAACAAAACCAGCUGUACAAAUAAUAGUUAUACGCAUGGAGUAUCGAUGCAUAUUUUCCAAAGAAACCUGCAGCAAAGAAGGCAGUGGGUCUCUCUCGUUUGAAGGCAUAGAGCCGGCUUCACUCCAUCUGCUACUUUCGUGUUAUGCUCAAUUCAUUUCAAACUGCCUGACUUUGCGAGGAGAAUUGACAUUAUCAUUGGAAACCAAAGUGAAAACAUUAAAAGCCUAAGAAGGCUUGAAAUCGGAGGGAUUCCAUCAAUCGAUGCAGCUGGAACCCUUUCAGGAGCGCCGGAAAGCGAAAGGGAUAAACAGAAUGCAAGAAAGGUUCGUAGGGCCUAAUUUUUUUACAAUGGGUCUUUUCUUUUGGAGAUGUAUCAAAUUUUAAUUAUAGACACAUAUAAUUAUAGAUACAUAUGCACAAGAAAGGCUUAAGGGCUCCAAAUUAAGUUUAGGCUUUGAUUUAUACAAAAAGUAAUGGUCUUUCUUGUGACAUUUCUAAUGUCCUUGUAGCUGUUCUGUUCCAUGUUUCUUCAAUGCCUACUCCCAAAAUUACUUUUCAGGCUUUAAAACGAUAGCAAAGUCGCCUGACAUUGACCCCAAAACCAAAGGCACUGCCGAUCCCUUCAUCCUUGAAUCUGUUCAAUGCUCAAGAGAGGCUCAUUUAGACGAGUUUGUAGACACCCUAACCACAACAAAAAAAGCUAGCUGCCUUAAAUGUCCAGUUUUGUCAGCUAAGCUAGUUACAUGCCAGAAGAAGAACAGUAGGCUAAAGAAAGAGGUAAAGAUGCUGAUAAAGAGAGUACAUGAGUUGGAAAACCAGAAUGACGAUGUUAGUUUUUAAGGUUGCUGUCUAGUGCAUGACAUUUAAGGUUGCUGUUAGCGUUAAAUUUGAUGAUAAGAACUUUAAUAAAUUUAUAAAACAUAGAUUCCACACAGUGGUAAAGUUCUAGCAAAAUAACAAGGGGGGCUCUAAACUAUAUCUGAAUCUUACUAAGUAUAUCUGAACUACAAAAUUUUCACAGGCAAAUGAGGCAGGAACCAGCAAUGCCAUGGGGCUGCUUGGAGCAAAGAAAUGUUUUGCCAGUCUACAGAAAGAAAAAGUUGACAUAUCAACAUUUGUAUCAGACCGCCAUACUGGGAUUGCAAAGUGGAUAAGGAACAACCAGAAAGAUACCCAUCAUUAUUAUGACAUUUGGCAUGUGGCAAGGUCAAUUUGUAAAAGGAUUUCACAAGCUGCUAAAGAGAAAGGGUUGGACAGGCUGCAAUAUUGGGUCAAGGGAAUUCGAAGACAUUUGUAUUGGUGUGUGUUAUCGACAAGACAAGGCUUUGGUGCAAUGAUCACUGCUAAAUGGACAUCCAUUUUGAGGCAUAUUGCAAACAGGCAUGAUGGCCACGAUAAUCCGCUUUUCCAAAAUGCAAACAUGAUCAACUGGAGAAGAGAAAAUGGUUCAAAAUAGGUAUGUUUAUAGGUCCCUUUUUUAUCAACAGUACUGUGCCGGGGAAAUCAUUUAGCUUUGCUUUGAAAAAGUAUUUAUCAUAAUCAAUUAUAUUCCUGGGACACUAGCCUAUGAUAAACUUGACUCAAUUUUGAUGAAUACCAGAAACAAGCUGCCUUGAAGGGUUAUAAUUCCCUUUUAAACCAUUGGCAACCGAAGAUGUUAUGCUUUUCAUUCUUUGGCACAGAGUGCAGGUUUGACUUCUUAAAAACCCCUCUGCCUAAAAGCAUAAUUGCUGACUGUACCUGUAGAAACCAGAACUUUAAGCAUUUCUGAAAAUAUCUGACAAUAUUCAGCUUUUUUCAACUUCGAGGUAUAAAAUAAAAUUUAAACAAUUGCAUCUGCAGUGUAUUUGAGAAGCAAUUGCAUUUUUAUGGUACUUUUUCUAUAUCUCUCUCUUACGAAUUUAUAUAUGCAGGCUGGGAGAGGUCUGGCAUUAUCGUAUCCAAGAAAGCCUAACAUCCAGCGAAUAAGCCAUCUAUAUGCAACGGCUUUUGAAAAUCUGCAAGAAAGUUAAGAUGCUUUGUAGAAUUAUCAAGAGGUUUCUUGACCGAACAUUUAGUUUAAUCAAGGAAAAAUUGCUUUAUGUACAAUGAAUUGAAGA
Rhopilema esculentum is the source of this 4449-nucleotide non-coding RNA. The record is from RefSeq and is a predicted model, not a curated record. Lineage: Eukaryota; Metazoa; Cnidaria; Scyphozoa; Rhizostomeae; Rhizostomatidae.